CGAAAUCUUCCCGUCUCUCUGUCCCUGGUCCGUCCACUUCGCCGGCGCGCCCCUAUCAUUUCCGGGUAAUCACACAAACAAAAGCCUCUGCGUUUCCCACCCCAGCACCGUCCCACCUUCCCUCCAGCACGAACGCACGCGGCCGGCCCGCACGCGCCCACAGCGUUUCGUUUCAGUUCCUCCGCGGCUCCGCCUUCCCCUCCCCCACGCCAGCGUCGCACGGAGGAUUUUCAAUUUUUCAAACCACUUCCAAAACUCCCCAUCCACCACCACGCCCACCCCAGAUCUAACCCUAAACCCAAAUGCCGCUAUGACCACGCCGCGCGCCACCGCCACGCGCCGCGUGGGGUCGGCCGCCGCCGCCGCCCAGGCGGCGGCCGGCGAGCCCUACAACAUCCUGCCCAUCCACGACCUCCUCGCCGAGCACCCGUCGCUGCGCUUCCCGGAGGUGCGGGCCGCCGCCGCCGCGCUCCGGGCCGUGGGGGGCCUCCGCCCGCCGCCCUACUCGCAGUGGCGCGCCGACCAGGACCUCAUGGACUGGCUCGGCGCCUUCUUCGGCUUCCAGCGGGACAACGUGCGCAACCAGCGCGAGCACCUCGUGCUCCUGCUCGCCAACGCGCAGAUGCGCCUCUCCUCCGCCGACUUCUCCGACACCCUCGAGCCCCGCAUCGCGCGCUCCCUCCGCCGGAAGCUCCUCCGCAACUACACCUCCUGGUGCGGCUUCCUCGGCCGCCGCCCCAACGUCUACGUCCCCGACGCCGACCCCCGCGCCGAUUUGCUCUUCGCCGGCCUCCACCUCCUCGUCUGGGGCGAGGCCGCCAACCUCCGCUUCGUGCCCGAGUGCAUCUGCUACAUCUACCACCACAUGGCUCUCGAGCUGCACCGGAUCCUCGAGGGCUACAUCGACACCACCACGGGCCAGCCCGCCAACCCCGCCGUGCACGGCGAGAACGCCUUCCUCGCCCGCGUCGUCACGCCCAUCUACGGUGUCAUCCGCUCUGAGGUCGAGUCCAGCCGCAACGGCACAGCUCCCCAUGCCGCCUGGCGGAACUACGACGACAUCAACGAGUACUUCUGGCGCCGUGAUGUCUUCGACCGUCUCGGCUGGCCCAUGGAGCAGUCCCGGCAAUUCUUCCGGACGCCACCCGAGCACGGCCGUGUGCGAAAGACGGGCUUUGUGGAGGUCCGCUCGUUCUGGAACAUUUACCGGAGCUUCGACAGGCUGUGGGUCAUGCUGGUGCUCUACUUGCAGGCCGCAGCCAUUGUCGCGUGGGAUGGUGAGACUUGGCCGUGGCAGAAUCUUCGGGGAAACCAGCACCGUGAAGCCCAGGUGCGAGUGCUCACCGUCUUCAUCACCUGGGCGGCACUACGCCUCCUGCAGUCGCUGCUGGACAUCGGCACACAGUUACGCCGUGCGUUCAGGGAUGGACGCAUGCUUGCAGUGCGCAUGGUGCUCAAGGCCAUUGUGGCAGCUGCGUGGGUUGUUGUAUUUGCUGUGCUGUACAAGGGAAUCUGGAGCCAGAGGGACAGUGAUCGUGGCUGGUCGCGGGGGACCGAUUCUCGAAUCAUGAAGUUCUUGUAUGCAGUGGCAGCGUUUCUGAUCCCCGAGGUCCUUGCCAUCGUGCUCUUCAUUAUUCCUUGGGUGCGGAAUGCAUUGGAGAAGACAAAUUGGAAGAUCUGCUAUGCCCUCACCUGGUGGUUUCAGAGCCGCAGCUUCGUUGGCCGCGGGCUUCGUGAGGGUACCUUUGACAAUGUGAAAUAUUCUAUUUUCUGGGUGCUUCUGCUUGCUGUGAAGUUUGCCUUUAGCUAUUUCCUCCAGAUCAGGCCACUUGUAAAACCUACAAAAGAGAUAUACAGGCUGAGUAAGGUCACAUAUGCUUGGCAUGAGUUCUUUGGGCAGAGCAACCGAUUUGCUGUCUUUAUAUUGUGGUUGCCGGUAGUUUUGAUCUACCUCAUGGAUAUCCAGAUCUGGUAUGCAAUCUUCUCUUCCAUGGCCGGUGCAUUUGUGGGGCUGUUUGCACACUUGGGGGAGAUCCGGGACAUGAAACAACUGAGGCUGCGGUUCCAGUUCUUUGCAAGUGCCAUGUCAUUCAACAUCAUGCCAGAGGAGCAACAUGUGAAUGAGCGCACUUUCUUGCCCAACCGGCUUCGGAAUUUCUGGCAGCGACUGCAGCUACGGUAUGGGUUCAGCCGAUCGUUCCGUAAGAUCGAGUCAAAUCAGGUAGAAGCACGGCGGUUUGCACUUAUUUGGAAUGAGAUUAUCACCAAGUUCAGGGAGGAGGAUAUUGUAAGUGAUCUUGAAGUUGAGCUCCUCGAGCUACCACCUGAGCUGUGGAAUGUGCGUGUGAUCCGUUGGCCGUGCUUCUUGCUUUGUAAUGAGCUGUCACUGGCACUUGGGCAGGCAAAGGAGGUCCAAGGACCUGAUCGCAGGCUCUGGAGGAAAAUCUGCAAGAAUGAUUAUCGUCGUUGUGCGGUCAUUGAGGUGUAUGAUAGUACCAAAUACAUGCUGCUAGAGAUCAUCAAGGAAAGGACAGAGGAACAUGGCAUUGUGACGCAAUUGUUUCGCGAGUUCGAUGAAUCCAUGAAUUUGGAUAAGUUCACUGUGGAGUAUAAGAUGUCUGUGCUGCAAAACGUCCAUGCAAAGCUUGUAGCACUGCUAAGCCUACUUCUCAAGCCCAACAAGGAUAUCACAAAGAUUGUCAAUGCUCUUCAGACUCUCUAUGAUGUUGUGAUUCGUGACUUCCAGGCUGAGAAAAGGAGCAUGGAACAGCUGAGGAACGAAGGCCUGGCACAAUCAAGGCCAACCAGCCUUCUCUUUGUGGACACUGUCGUGUUGCCUGAUGAGGAGAAUGCCACCUUCUAUAAGCAGGUGCGGCGCAUGCACACCAUCCUGACCUCACGUGACUCUAUGGUCAAUGUCCCAAAGAACCUUGAAGCUCGGCGGAGGAUUGCUUUUUUCAGCAAUUCAUUGUUCAUGAACAUACCACGGGCAACCCAGGUGGAGAAGAUGAUGGCCUUCAGUGUCUUGACACCAUAUUAUAACGAAGAGGUGUUGUACAACAAGGACCAGCUCUACAAGGAGAAUGAAGAUGGCAUAUCAAUACUAUACUAUCUGAAACAGAUCUACCCAGAUGAGUGGGAGUUCUUUGUUGAGCGCAUGAAGCGUGAGGGGAUGUCUGAUAUGAAGGAGCUGUACAGUGAGAAGCAAAGGUUAAGAGAUCUUCGGCACUGGGUCUCAUACAGGGGACAGACACUAUCACGUACUGUGAGGGGGAUGAUGUACUAUUAUGAUGCUCUCAAGAUGCUGACCUUUCUGGAUUCUGCCUCUGAACAUGACUUAAGAACUGGAUCGAGGGAGCUUGCUACAAUGGGUUCCUCAAGAUUUGGAUCCUCCAGAAGAGAAGGGAGUGCUGGUGGGUCAGGGUAUUAUAGCAGGGCCUCUUCGUCACACACACUGAGCAGAGCAACCAGUGGUGUGAGCGCUUUGUUUAAAGGUAGCGAGUAUGGGACUGUCCUUAUGAAAUACACUUAUGUGGUUGCAUGCCAAAUUUAUGGCCAGCAGAAAGCUAAAAAUGAUCCGCAUGCUUAUGAGAUAUUGGAGCUAAUGAAGAAUUAUGAAGCACUUCGUGUUGCCUAUGUUGACGAAAAACACUCGGCUGGUGCCGAACCGGAGUACUUCUCCGUCCUUGUGAAAUACGACCAGCAGUUGCAGAAAGAGGUUGAAAUUUAUCGAGUGAAGUUGCCUGGGCCACUGAAGCUUGGUGAAGGCAAGCCAGAGAACCAGAAUCAUGCACUCAUCUUCACAAGGGGUGAUGCGGUUCAAACUAUUGAUAUGAACCAAGACAAUUACUUUGAAGAGGCUCUGAAGAUGAGAAAUCUGCUAGAAGAGUUCAAUCGCCAUUAUGGAAUUCGCAAGCCAAAAAUCCUUGGGGUUCGGGAACAUGUGUUCACUGGCUCUGUAUCUUCUCUAGCUUGGUUUAUGUCUGCCCAAGAAACAAGUUUUGUCACUCUGGGGCAGCGGGUUCUAGCUAACCCACUCAAGGUUAGAAUGCAUUAUGGCCACCCAGAUGUGUUUGAUCGUCUUUGGUUCUUGGGCCGAGGUGGUAUUAGUAAAGCAUCAAGAGUAAUCAACAUCAGUGAGGAUAUCUUUGCUGGAUUCAAUUGUACCCUCCGUGGGGGCAAUGUUACACACCAUGAGUACAUCCAGGUUGGUAAAGGAAGGGAUGUGGGGCUCAACCAGGUUUCUAUGUUUGAAGCCAAGGUUGCUAGUGGCAAUGGUGAGCAAACUCUGAGCCGUGAUGUUUACAGACUGGGCCACAGAUUGGAUUUCUUUCGGAUGCUCUCGUUUUUUUAUACAACCAUUGGAUUCUAUUUCAACACAAUGAUGGUUGUGCUAACUGUCUAUGCAUUUGUCUGGGGGCGAUUUUAUCUUGCACUUAGUGGGCUGGAGGAGUACAUCACCAAGAACACUAGCACUACUAAUAAUGCAGCCCUGGGAGCUGUCUUGAAUCAGCAGUUCGUCAUACAGCUGGGCCUGUUCACAGCAUUGCCCAUGAUUAUUGAAAAUUCACUUGAGCAUGGUUUCCUCAAUGCUGUAUGGGAUUUCUUAAAAAUGCAAUUGCAGUUUGCAUCUGUUUUCUACACCUUCUCCAUGGGAACCAAGACACAUUAUUAUGGGCGGACAAUCCUUCAUGGAGGUGCAAAGUAUCGAGCUACUGGCCGUGGAUUUGUUGUGGAGCACAAGAAAUUCGCCGAGAACUACAGGCUAUAUGCCCGUAGCCAUUUUCUAAAAGCAAUAGAGCUUGGCGUGAUAUUGGUUCUCUAUGCAUCUUACAGCAGCAGCGCUGGGAAUACAUUUGUGUACAUCCUGCUGACGCUUUCCAGUUGGUUUUUAGUAUCCUCGUGGAUUUUGGCCCCCUUCAUCUUUAAUCCAUCAGGUUUGGACUGGCUAAAGAAUUUUAAUGAUUUUGAGGAUUUCCUAAGCUGGAUUUGGUUCCAGGGUGGAAUCUCAGUGAAGUCAGAUCAAAGCUGGGAAAAGUGGUGGGAGGAGGAAACUGAUCACCUUAGGACCUCUGGUCUGUGGGGGAGCAUCUUGGAAAUCAUUAUAGACCUCCGAUAUUUCUUCUUUCAGUAUGCAAUUGUUUACCGGCUUCACAUUGCCAAUGAGAGUAGAAGCAUCCUUGUCUAUCUUCUUUCAUGGACAUGCAUACUGCUGGCUUUUGUGGCUCUUGUCGCAGUUGCUUACUUCCGAGACAGAUACGCAGCAAAGAAGCACAUAAGGUAUCGGCUUGUCCAAGCUGUAAUUGUUGGUGCCACUGUGACUGGUAUUGUCCUGUUGAUAGAAUUCACAAAUUUCCAGUUCAUUGAUGCCUUUACUAGUCUCUUGGCUUUUCUGCCAACUGGCUGGGGAAUCAUAUCUAUUGCUCUGGUGUUCAAGCCAUACCUGAGGAGGUCUGAGACAGUCUGGAAAACUAUUGUCACAGUGGCACGCCUGUAUGAUAUACUGUUUGGAGUAAUUGUUAUGACACCUGUAGCUGUGUUGUCAUGGUUGCCGGGGCUCCAGGAAAUGCAAACAAGGAUCCUAUUCAAUGAAGCCUUCAGCCGAGGACUUCAUAUUUCUCAAAUGUUUACUGGCAAAAAAGGACAUGGAGUUUAAGCUCAACCCAUUUUCAUUUCUCAAAGUGAUCUGCUUCAUUAUUCUGGAGGGUGCAGUUCUUCUCAGUGAUAUACGGUUCACAGAGGCUUCUGGUUUAGAGUAGAUGGAUGCUAGUUUCUGUACAGGCGACAUCUUUACCUUGAUUCUUUGUAACUUGAUGUACACAUGGAUUUCCGUAGUAGAAAUGAUGCAAUCAAACUUAAUGAGUCGUCGAUUCGGCUCAUAUUCAUGGUUUGAGAUUUUGCUAGUUUUGUAGUGAAACAGAGCUGUACAAACUUUAUCCUGAAUGGACCUCUCGUGCCAGACAUUUCUUUGGGUGCUGCCAUAUUUUUGUUGUAAAGCUGGGAAUCGCUGUUCCUGCUUUUACCUGCACAUACAUCUACAUUGUGGGAGAUUGUAAUCUUGUACACCAAUUGUUAUCGGAAAUGUCAUCGGCUGGGUCUUCCCGGUGGCGCUGCUGUCUGAUCCAUAUUGGGAUGUACUACUUCUCAUGUCAAUCAUUGUGUCUG
Molecule: ribosomal RNA, 6165 nt
Filed under: Triticum aestivum (bread wheat)
Lineage: Eukaryota; Viridiplantae; Streptophyta; Magnoliopsida; Poales; Poaceae
Description: partial small subunit ribosomal RNA
Rfam family: Small nucleolar RNA J33 (bases 3264-3343)
Source: RNAcentral